UACGAAGGGGGCUAGCGUUGUUCGGAAUUACUGGGCGUAAAGCGCACGUAGGCGGAUUGUUAAGUCGGGGGUGAAAUCCUGGAGCUCAACUCCAGAACUGCCUUCGAUACUGAGAGUCUCGAGUCCGGGAGAGGUGAGUGGAACUGCGAGUGUAGAGGUGAAAUUCGUAGAUAUUCGCAAGAACACCAGUGGCGAAGGCGGCUCACUGGCCCGGUACUGACGCUGAGGUGCGAAAGCGUGGGGAGCAAACAGG
Molecule: ribosomal RNA, 253 nt
Filed under: uncultured bacterium
Lineage: Bacteria
Description: partial 16S ribosomal RNA
Rfam family: Bacterial small subunit ribosomal RNA
Source: RNAcentral